AGAGUUUGAUCCUGGCUCAGAUUGAACGCUGGCGGCAUGCCUUACACAUGCAAGUCGAACGGUAACGCGGGGCAACCUGGCGACGAGUGGCGAACGGGUGAGUAAUGUAUCGGAACGUGCCCAGUUGUGGGGGAUAACUGCUCGAAAGAGCAGCUAAUACCGCAUACGACCUGAGGGUGAAAGCGGGGGAUCGCUAGACCUCGCGCAAUUGGAGCGGCCGAUAUCAGAUUAGGUAGUUGGUGGGGUAAAGGCUCACCAAGCCGACGAUCUGUAGCUGGUCUGAGAGGACGACCAGCCACACUGGGACUGAGACACGGCCCAGACUCCUACGGGAGGCAGCAGUGGGGAAUUUUGGACAAUGGACGCAAGUCUGAUCCAGCCAUGCCGCGUGCGGGAAGAAGGCCUUCGGGUUGUAAACCGCUUUUGUCAGGGAAGAAAAGGCUCCUUCUAAUAUAGGGGGCUCAUGACGGUACCUGAAGAAUAAGCACCGGCUAACUACGUGCCAGCAGCCGCGGUAAUACGUAGGGUGCAAGCGUUAAUCGGAAUUACUGGGCGUAAAGCGUGCGCAGGCGGUUAUGCAAGACAGAGGUGAAAUCCCCGGGCUCAACCUGGGAACUGCCUUUGUGACUGCAUAGCUAGAGUACGGUAGAGGGGGAUGGAAUUCCGCGUGUAGCAGUGAAAUGCGUAGAUAUGCGGAGGAACACCGAUGGCGAAGGCAAUCCCCUG
Molecule: ribosomal RNA, 726 nt
Filed under: uncultured beta proteobacterium
Lineage: Bacteria; Pseudomonadati; Pseudomonadota; Betaproteobacteria
Description: bacterial SSU rRNA
Rfam family: Bacterial small subunit ribosomal RNA
Source: RNAcentral